Wyeomyia smithii (pitcher-plant mosquito) is the source of this 1838-nucleotide long non-coding RNA. RefSeq lists it as uncharacterized. Lineage: Eukaryota; Metazoa; Arthropoda; Insecta; Diptera; Culicidae. The record is from RefSeq and is a predicted model, not a curated record. The transcript has 3 exons.
AGAGAGGAUACAAAACCAGAGUCUAUGUGUAUAUAGCGUAUAUAGAGUCGCGCAAAGAGAAAAUCUGUCGUUUCGGCAACAAGGUUUUUGUGCCGUUUGUUGCCAAGAACUAUACAGUUCUGUUUUUCACCAUGCAUACUGCCCAUAAACGCAUAAGAGUCACACUGCCAAAAACGUACAACUGAGUAAAACGCAGUAGACGCAGGUAAACCAUAGCAUUUUUUCCUUCCUAUGGAUUCAAUCAAAGAAACAAAAAUUUAAAAUAAGCAUUCAUCCGAGCAACAAACCUAACUUUUGUUGUAAAUUUUCGAGAGCACACGUAAUGUAAAGAAGUUUCUAAGAUUUAUCUCAAAAGUGAUGAAAAUUCACAUGGGACUGUUAUGCAUUUAUGGGCAGCAUAAGCGAAUAUCAAUUUUUGGAAUUCUUCACAAGGUACACUGUUUUGAUAGAUUACACCGGUGAUGUUUUGUUAAAUUUAAGUGAACCAGUGUACAGGUUUAAUGUUGGAUUAAAAUGUACGGUGUUAUGAACAGAUCAAGGGAUUGGUAUGGUAGCCUUCAAGCGUAUCGAACAUCUAUUUCUGUACCGUUCAUCACAAAACUUCGUUUUAUGCCGUCACAAUUUGCUUCUAUAUGUUUUGGGGCACAAUUAUUGUACAAAAUAUCACUUAGAAUAUCAAAUUACAUACAAAAAUCUUGAGAAACUGCUCAAAAUUAUCCGAUAAGCUGUCAAUAACUGCAGUCAACAUUUGGUCGGUUUGCCCGAAUCAACUAGCAAUGGGCAAGAUCGAUCCGAUUUUUGCAAAAUCGAUCUUUUCGGGUCGAUUCAUCGAUUUUUUGAAUCGAUUUCUCUGCGCGCGAUCUUCUGCUGAAUCGAUCCUUAGGAUGGCAAGAUCGUUUUUUUUCGCCUGAAAAAUAAAUGUGUGCAAAACGGAUUGAAGACAAUAGUGAUUGCAUUUAUUGUUGCUAACGUAAUCUGCGGCCGAAUUCCGAGAACACUUUUCUUUGAAGAGAAGAAAAUUUCUUUAUUGAUAGUAUACGAAAUUUUUUUCUCUCCGAAGAAGUGUGUGCUCGGAAUUCGGACACUGAUCUGAAAAAUGUGUCAAUUUUUUACCGGGAUGUCCAUAGUUGAAGAAUGGGCUAAAAUUCAAUAGACAUGAAACCGAGAAAAACGCAUUUGAAAUGUUUUUGUUGGUUCAAACAAUUGUCUACGUCCAUGACAACUUUUUUCAUGAGUAUGUCACCACCCCCAUAUCCAGCAUAUCCAGCUUUUCACAAACGGUAAUGGCGUAUAGUGCACGCAGCCCAUUUUGACGUUUUCUGUAGGUCAGGGAAGCUGGAUAACCUUGUCGUCGAGUUGAAAAAGAACAAUCCGCAGCCAAAUUAAGUCCCUCCAGUAUUUUUAACGCAGUAACCAUUUUUUGCCUUUGUAAACGCGACAUCAAUAGACAAACCCGUAUGAAAUUUGGCUAAUACGUAUGCGUUGUGAAAUAUAUCAAGGAUUAGGGGUGGGUGAAACGGCUCUUUUGCAAGAGCGGCUCUAAACCGACUCAUGGUUCACAAUGAUUCACGAGCCUUGACAGUUCGUGUUGUCUCAGUAAACUUUGUCGAUUGGUGAUUGGUGUACAUUGGGGUGGCAAUGGAAAUUGACUUUGACAGUUUUAUUUAGAAGUAGUGUUCAAAAUUUCGCCUUCACGAACAGUUAGCAAAAUUUCGAUUUUUGGAUAACACCCGACCUCGACGUUUUAUACAAUUAUAAUAACCAGUAAUAUCGCCCAUCUUGAUUUCAAAUCCCAUACUCCAAAUUUUCCGUGGAAACUAGAUGUAUGUAUGUUUCAA